Non-coding RNA from Ictidomys tridecemlineatus (thirteen-lined ground squirrel), 500 nucleotides. Lineage: Eukaryota; Metazoa; Chordata; Mammalia; Rodentia; Sciuridae. The record is from RefSeq and is a predicted model, not a curated record.
CCCUCCUCUAAAAUUGUUCUUUUCAGGUCUUUUGGUCACAGCGGCAAAAAUCUGACUAAGCCAGUGUGUUCUGAGGUCAUAAAAAAAACAGAAUUUUGCUCAUUUCACUCUUUCCUGGACUGAACUUCUCCAACUAUACAUUUCAGGGCUGGUUUUAGACAUGUAGAGGGAAGUUGGCCUUCCUAGAUUUGAUUUAUUUAUUCAGCCAUCAUCUAUAAUGUACAUACUGUAUACCAGGCAGUAUUUGAUGAAUGUGAAGAAACACCAAUGAACAGACAAAGAAGGCUCCUUGAGCUCAUGUGACUUCCAUUCUAAAAGGGGUCCCAGAAAGUCAUCAAUUAAGCAAACGAAGAACAGCACACCACUGGCUAGAUCCCUUUGGGCUAUGGGAGCAACAUAUUCCACACAUAAGUCUCCCUUCCCAGUUCACAUCUGUGGUCAUCUGGGCAGAGGUGCCAUCCAACCAAGUGAAAGAGAAAUAACUUGAGCUUGGUUUACAG